GAGCCGACCUUGAAAUACCACCCUUUAAUGUUUGAUGUUCUAACGUGGACCCGUAAUCCGGGUUGCGGACAGUGUCUGGUGGGUAGUUUGACUGGGGCGGUCUCCUCCUAAAGAGUAACGGAGGAGCACGAAGGUUGGCUAAUCCUGGUCGGACAUCAGGAGGUUAGUGCAAUGGCAUAAGCCAGCUUGACUGCGAGCGUGACGGCGCGAGCAGGUGCGAAAGCAGGUCAUAGUGAUCCGGUGGUUCUGAAUGGAAGGGCCAUCGCUCAACGGAUAAAAGGUACUCCGGGGAUAACAGGCUGAUACCGCCCAAGAGUUCAUAUCGACGGCGGUGUUUGGCACCUCGAUGUCGGCUCAUCACAUCCUGGGGCUGAAGUAGGUCCCAAGGGUAUGGCUGUUCGCCAUUUAAAGUGGUACGCGAGCUGGGUUUAGAACGUCGUGAGACAGUUCGGUCCCUAUCUGCCGUGGGCGCUGGAGAACUGAGGGGGGCUGCUCCUAGUACGAGAGGACCGGAGUGGACGCAUCACUGGUGUUCGGGUUGUCAUGCCAAUGGCACUGCCCGGUAGCUAAAUGCGGAAGAGAUAAGUGCUGAAAGCAUCUAAGCACGAAACUUGCCCCGAGAUGAGUUCUCCCUGAGACUUAGAGUCUCCUGAAGGAACGUUGAAGACGACGACGUUGAUAGGCCGGGUGUGUAAGCGCAGCGAUGCGUUGAGCUAACCGGUACUAAUGAACCGUGAGGCUUAACCUUACA
RNAcentral lists this ribosomal RNA (751 nucleotides) under Salmonella enterica. RNAcentral's name for it is "partial 23S ribosomal RNA". It matches the Rfam family "Bacterial large subunit ribosomal RNA", at positions 2183 to 2925 of the family's 2925-position model. Lineage: Bacteria; Pseudomonadati; Pseudomonadota; Gammaproteobacteria; Enterobacterales; Enterobacteriaceae. The record is from RNAcentral.